This 271-nucleotide ribosomal RNA is filed under the name uncultured archaeon. RNAcentral describes it as "partial 16S ribosomal RNA". It matches the Rfam family "Archaeal small subunit ribosomal RNA", at positions 477 to 747 of the family's 1478-position model. The record is from RNAcentral.
CAGCGCCACGAGUGGUAACCGCGAUUAUUGGGCCUAAAGCGUCCGUAGCCGGCCUUAUAAAUCCUUUGUGAAAUUGUGCGGCUUAACCGUACAACGUGCAAGGGACACUGUAAGGCUCGAGACCGGGAGGAGUCAGAAGUAUUCCAGAGGGAGCGGUAAAAUGUUUCAAUCUCUGGAGGACUACCUAUGGCGAAGGCAUCUGACCAGAACGGAUCUGACGGUGAGGGACGAAAGCCAGGGGAGCGAACCGGAUUAGAUACCCGAGUAGUCC